UUCAGACUCUUGGACCUGAUGUUUCUGA
This 28-nucleotide non-coding RNA is filed under the name Homo sapiens (human). The record is from RNAcentral. Lineage: Eukaryota; Metazoa; Chordata; Mammalia; Primates; Hominidae.